RNAcentral lists this transfer RNA (62 nucleotides) under Haliplus flavicollis. RNAcentral's name for it is "tRNA-Cys". Lineage: Eukaryota; Metazoa; Arthropoda; Insecta; Coleoptera; Haliplidae. The record is from RNAcentral.
AAGAUAAAUUAUUAUUUUGAAGCUUAAUUUUUAUAUUAAAAUUUAUUUGUAGAUUAAGGCUU